AUUGAACGCUGGCGGCAUGCCUUACACAUGCAAGUCGAACGGCAGCACGGGAGCAAUCCUGGUGGCGAGUGGCGAACGGGUGAGUAAUGUAUCGGAACGUACCUUUCAGUGGGGGAGUAACGUAGCGAAAGUUACGCUAAUACCGCAUAUUCUGUGAGCAGGAAAGCAGGGGAGUCGCAAGACCUUGCGCUGAUUGAGCGGCCGAUAUCAGAUUAGCUAGUUGGUGAGGUAAAGGCUCACCAAGGCGACGAUCUGUAGCGGGUCUGAGAGGAUGAUCCGCCACACUGGAACUGAGACACGGUCCAGACUCCUACGGGAGGCAGCAGUGGGGAAUUUUGGACAAUGGGCGCAAGCCUGAUCCAGCCAUGCCGCGUGAGUGAAGAAGGCCUCGGUUGUAAG
Molecule: ribosomal RNA, 399 nt
Filed under: uncultured bacterium
Lineage: Bacteria
Description: bacterial SSU rRNA
Rfam family: Bacterial small subunit ribosomal RNA
Source: RNAcentral